UAUUCUGUACUCUCUAGGUGGGAAACACGCCCAGGGAGGCUAAGUGACCUGCCUGAGAAACACCCAAAGUUCCAAUGCAAGUGAUCUGGAUGCCAAGCCAGCUCUCUUGACCACAUUCUCACAGACGGCCCUUGCCCUCCUCUGCGCAUUCAUUCCAGAAUUCCUGAAUGGGCCUGCUCUCUGCUCCGGGCCUUGCGGAAUGAAUGGCCCAAGUUCCCUGCCCUGGAGAUCUGGCAGCUGCAUGCCACAGCAUUCCCUGGGCUCCUGCGCUGGGCCAGGUAUUGUGCUGGGCGCCAGAGGAGUCCAGCAAUGAACAGAGGCAGCCACGUGGUCUCAGGGAGCCUAAGACACAGCCCCGGGAAUGAACCACGUCAACCACAGUGAUUUG
Molecule: long non-coding RNA, 388 nt
Filed under: Mustela putorius furo (domestic ferret)
Lineage: Eukaryota; Metazoa; Chordata; Mammalia; Carnivora; Mustelidae
Description: lncRNA (ENSMPUG00000031556.1)
Source: RNAcentral